Non-coding RNA from Heterocephalus glaber (naked mole-rat), 6019 nucleotides. Lineage: Eukaryota; Metazoa; Chordata; Mammalia; Rodentia; Bathyergidae. The record is from RefSeq and is a predicted model, not a curated record.
GCUCCUGCACAGCUGCACCUUCCACAGGACCAGCCACCGAGGCGCAGGAGCAGGAGGUCUGCCGGAGGAGGGCUCGGCAGGGGAUCUGGCAGUGCUGGGUCUGGGGCGCAGCCACGUGACCUUGACCACAUCACUUCCCCUUUCGGAACCUGGCCCUUUACUCUGAAAUGAGGAGUCUGGGCUGGUGAUUCCUAAGGAAGGAGACAUUCAGGGUUUGCUGAGGCCUUGGCUCCCCCUUGCCACGUUUAAGAGGCCUGCACACAUCAAGGUCAAGAUCUGAAGGCUGGAGUUAGGGGCAUGAAGCUGCGAAGACCUGGGCUUUUGCUUAGUGCCUCCAGUGACUGCCUCUGCUUUCUGGCCUCAUUUCUCCCUUCUCUUGAUCAGCUCAGAAUCCUCAGCCUUCGGGGUGAAGAGACCUUAGUGGCUGAAACAGAAGCCAGUUGGAGGGGGUCAGGAGUGAAUGAAGCAAAGCAGUGUCUCCUCUCCUCCCAGGUCAGAGCCUAGGGUCCCUAGCUUCUCCUCCCUGUCCUCUCCCCCAGUAGGGUGUGUGAAUGGUACCUGCCUGCCCUGCUCCUCUCAGGCCUGUUGCUCAGCCUGCCUGGCUCCCUUUCCAAUCCUAUUUCUACUCCCACCUCGUUUAAAUCUGCCUGACUUCAUUCCUGCCAUCCUGGGAGACUCCAACAGAUGGAAAUAAAGCAAGCAGUCUGGCUCGAGUGGCGGGGGAAUCACCCCCAUCCCUUCCCCAGCCCCCUGGCUAAGACAGGCCGCUGAACAGUAUAUGGUGUUGAGAAUCAGAAGUCAAGUUACUUAUAAUGUCUUGGAGGCGUUAAUUUUCCCAAUCAACAUUUACCAGGUGCCUACAAGGUACCAUGAUUCGAACCAUCUUACCUGUCCCGACUCAUUUAAUCCCUCAGACAGUUCUAUUAUUGGUCCAUUUUAUUUAUGCAGAUUUGGAGGCACAGGGGAGCUGAGGAAGUGGCCAAGUAAGGGCAGAGCUGGGAUUUGAACUUAGAUUGUCCCAUGCCAAAACCACGCGCUUACCACACUGCUGGAUGCUGGGAACAUCCGGGGCAUGGCAAAGUGCUCGGACCUGGGCGGUGCUUGCUCACACCCGGGCUGCCUGCAGAGGCCCCUGUGGGAUGCAGGUCCAUGAACUGGCCCCAUGGCCCAACUCCAGACACCCUCUGUCUAUCACUGAUUUUCCUUUUCCAGCAGAAGCAGAGGGGGAAAAUCAAAACAAUAGGAGAAGCAAGGAGAAAGCCUGAGCCAGCUGGGUUUUUGCUGAGGCCAAUCCUGGCUGCUUCCUCUCCUGCCUGGCUUAGAUGGUGGCAGGAACAGAGAGGAGAAUUUGCCAAGGUUUCCUGCUUGCCUCUUGGUUUUCUCACCCGAAAUGGGAGAUAGUUGGCACCUGCUGCCCCAGGCUCCAAAGGCCACCUCCUGAUUUGCUUCCUUUAGGGCCCCAUCUCCAAACAGGAAAGUUGACUUGGAGCAGUACUCCCUUCCUACCCAGGAAGGGGCCAGCACUGCGGAAGGAGUCAGGUGAUCUGUCCCUAAGGUGUACCUCUGUAAUGCCCCAGCAAAGCGAGGCACCCAGGGAUUGCCAAGUCAAGGUCAGUGGAAGGAAUGGUGAGUUGGGAGAAAAGGGAUGUGGGGUAAGAGAGGAGAGUUGUCCUGAACAGACACAGCAACCCUAGCACGGAGCGGCUCACCUGAGAGUCCCCUCUCUGUGGGGCUAGGCCUGGGGUGCUUCUGGGGCUCCAAAGUUGAGCUUCUUUUCCAUUCUUGGUCACCACCGGUGGUCCAGGCCUGGCGAAGGUACGCAAUUAUGUAUUUCACGUAAUUGUCAAACUGCCCCGAAUAGGCAAGCUAGCCUCCUGCCCUCUCUCCCUGAUCAGAGGGCUGUGUCUGUCCCAUCCCCUGCCUGCAGACAGCUGAAACCGAAAAUAUUCUGGGCAAUCUGAGUGUCUUACAGUGCUCAGAGAAACCCAGCAUAAGGCCUCCCUGGGGAGAGUGGGCCCGGUUAACCACACCGAGAUUCAGGUGGUGGUAUUUGUCCCAUUUUAAGUGGAAAUGAAUUUGACUGCUAAGCCCUACUCCUUUCUAAAUGCAAAGACUUGGAAGCAGUCUCAUCUUCAAAGGAGAUGACACUAAAGUUGGACCUCUGGGGGUCCCUCUGGGCCUGGGAAUUGGAGCCACCAGGUUCCUAAGGUGCUGCUGCCUGUCCCAUGGUGAUCCCUCCCUCUUCCUGUCAUGCUUAGUCAGCGACUCUGACGGUGGGCCAGCCUCAGCCAGCCAAACCCUGGAUGAGGGCACAGGACAUUUGAAGACUACUGCUGUUCUCACCCCACCCCACUCCAGCUAUGUACCCCAAGUACCUCAGAACCAUUGAUAAAUGUUCCCUGUAGUCUUGGAUGGGGAGUGCUUGUUCCCCCCCCCCCUGCCUCUUUCCCCCUUAUCCCCAUUUCUCUAGAAGAGAAACAAGGGGGGCUGGCUUUGGUGAGCCAGGGACUGUGCCCUUGAAGCCCAUGGAGGCCCCAGAGGGCUUGGCUCCCAGUGCAUGGCAGGGAACUGAGUUUCCUGCAGGCCGAGAAGGAGUUAACUUCCAAGGAGAACACAGGCUUCUCCCAGACUGGAGGCCUGUGCCCAGGCAGGAUGCUGCCAACUCCGGGAAGAAGUCCUGGGAUCUGUAGUUUGUACCACCACCCGCCCCUGGCCUGCCUGUUUAUCAACACCUCCGUGUAGACUACAGUUCCCAGAAACCUGCUGAGGCCAGGCUUUGAGGGAAGGGGUGGGGUGUGAGGUUGGGGAUGCAGGAGAGGGAGAGGGAGGAGAUGAGGAGAGAAAACCCAAUUCACCCCCGUCUUUUCAUUCUUUUUCCUGGUGUGUCUGCUCCACCGCCCGAGCUAAUCCCCCAAAUCCGGUCUCCUAAGCUGCAGCUGCUCCCCUUUGCAGUGAUGAAUGGCUCAGGGAGGGAAGAGUUCCUGGCAAGUCCCAACACUUGUGAAUGUCUCCCACCCUUCCACCUUCACUACCGCCCACUUGGAUGGAGGGCAUUGUCGCAAUCUGAGGCCCAGGACGCCUCCCUCAGCUCCUGGCCUCCUUGCCUGAGCUGAUUCUCAGGCUCCUCUGCUGCAGGCUCAGGGGCAGAGAGGUGACCUGAGGGAUGUGUAGGUUCCCCUCAGGGUUAUCAGACCAGACAGCCUGGGGCAGCUAAGGAAGGGCGAGGUCUGUGACAGUGAGACUGCUGGAGGAAGGAGUUUUUCCAGGCUCCACAAGAUCCCGCCUCUGGAUUGUCGGAUGAGACCUGAUGGAGUCCAUGGAACUCCUGCCCGGAACCUGUGUGAGGUGGCACAAGUCAGGACACAAACCAGCUUCCUGUUCCCAACAGCAGGUGUGGGAUGAGAUCUCUGGUGAGCACUGCCCAGCCUGGCCCAGGGCAUGCCCCAGUUCACUUUCGCCUGCUUCUGUGGCCUCCACAGCUUCUGCAAGAGGAAGAGGAAGAAGGAGGAAGUUCCCAGAGAACGAGAAACAGCAGUGUGAGCAGAACCAGGGCCCUUUUGUCAGCUCCCAGCAGGUCACAGGCCCGAGGCCGCCGAGCCUGGGGCAGGAGCCACAAGAGCUUUCUAAGGCUUCUUUUAGCUGGUGCUCAGCUAAAGGGGCCUGACUCUAUCUAACCUGAGGGCAUUGGCCUCCUGUGUGCCUUCCAGGCCUCCUCAUGCCCACACCUCCCUUAGCUUCUGGUCCCAGUCACACAAGGGGGAUCCCAGGGCCUCUCAGUUGCCUUCCAGAGACAAAGAAGCCGCAGGGAGGCCAAGGCCUGAAGCUUUUCACCUGUCCCGGGCUUUUCUCAGGGAAACCACUCCCUCGAGGGACCUCUGCCUUGUGUGAGGAGAGCUGAUUGCUAAACAGGAAACUGGCUGCUCUGGCCGAGAACCUGGAGCACCCCAGACCCUGGAGGAGGCCUCAGGGUUGCAGGUGUGAGAUGGCCAUCUUCAAGCUCAAGAUGGAGUCUCUGCUGGGGCCUCAGGACCUGGAGCAGCCACAGCAUGGGGAAUAAGUCUUUCUCAGCCCCUCCCAGCAUCUUCCCGGGCCAGGUGGGCCAGGCCUGAGGUGAGAGGAGGAGGAGAAUGCUGAGAGGGGCCGGUCUGUCCACAGCCCUGGCCCUGCCCCUGCCCCUGCCCCUGCACCAUGAGGUCUGAGCUUUGUUGGCAGCAGCACAGAAAUGGGGGGCCUGCCCCCAGGUGCUGACUCCCCUUCCUCAGGAACUUUCCCAGAGACCAGGUCGUUGGAAGCCUUACCCAGACUAAACUGUGUCCUUCCCGCCUCACUUCCUGACUCCCUGCCUCACCCCCACCUUCUCUUCUCAGAAGCCAUAGAGGGAGGUGUGCUUGCGUGUGGAGCCUUCAGGGAAACUCCUGGAGUAGGGGACCUCUGGGACUUUGCUGUACUUUUACCUUCCUCUCCCCAUUCCAACAGCUUUCUAAUUUCAGUCUUGCCCGCCCCCCCCCGCCACGCCCUGAGCCCAUUUCCAAGAGGUAGGAAGCAAAUCCCCCCAUCUUGUCAUUGUGCCUGGAGUCCGGCUGCCAGAGGGGCCCUUGGACAGAGCCCUUUAGGCAGGUUCUGUUGCUUCCACAGCAUGUUGUCUUCUGCACAGGGACAGUUGGCACAGGCAUAGUGACACCCCUACCUACCAGCAUCCGGGGACAAAAUUGCCUGUCUGACGGACCCACAGGUGGCCUGGUACAGGGGCAAGUGCCCCAGAACAGAGGGGGUUUUACUUGCCUGUCCUGGGGCUUUCUGGGCAGCUGGGUGGGGCAGACCCCUUGCUGCCCCUCAGAAUCUGGCAGUGCCACCUGCCCAACUUCCGCCCACACGAGGAGCGUUUCCUGUCCGUUGGGCAGAUCUGGUGCGAUCAAGGUUGCCUUGCUGAGGUCCAAGCACAGAUAAAUAAAGAGUUCUCUCUUCCAUCCUCCAACUCCCUCCUUUGCCCCUGCCUCCCCCCAGCUCCAGCCUCCUCCAAUCUGUUAUUUCCUUUUAUAUCCAAAGAAUUAUAAACAGAAGUCCUUCCUUCAAGGAAACAGCAAGAUUCCAAUCCAGGCCAGUGGGGUUGAAAGGGACUGAAGAAAUCCUCCCUGGUUCUUUGUCCUCACAGGCAGUAGAGGCCUGAGGUGAGGCAAAGGGGCAGAAAAGCUUUGGGGAACUGCCUGGACAGAGAACCAGGGAGCCUACCCACAGGGCGUGUGUCCCCAAGUGGUGGCCUGCGAGAUGUCACUGCUGUCACACAGGACGAAAUUGUAUCCCUAGGACUCAAGAGGUGUUGGAUGUUGUGUCCUAACCGCAGGGCUCACCCGGAGGAAAGAUCAGGAGAGGAGAACAGAAGCCCUAGGGAGAGGGUGACAAAGGACAGCUCUCCUCCUGUGCACCCCUGAGCCCUUGGCAGGGAUGGCAGCUGCAGGGUUUAGCAGGGGGGCGGCUUGGAGAGCUUCGUCCCCCAGGACUGUGCCUCAACUCUGGAGGGACAUUGGCUAUCUCGGGUCCCUGCUAUGGGAACGUGGGUAGGGUCCCAAGGUUAAGGCCUCUGAGUGCAGGCCUCACUGUCCUUGGCCCCCCGGCUGUGGCCCCUUUAUCCAGGGCUAAAGUUGGGACCAAUGCUCCAGCUGAAGUGCCCCACGCAGGAGCCGGAGCGGCUCCUAGCAGACAUGCCCCGUGUCACCUCGCCCUUCAUUUCCUUCUCAGGGAGAUGGGGAUUUGCCCCUUUUAGCUUCUUAGGAAGCAGCUCAAAGCCGUUCCCGCUUCUGUGCCCUUGGGUGGGCCCAGGGCAGGUGGAAAUCCUACAGGGCCAACACGGGCCUAGGUCUGCAUAGCACAUGCCCCCACCUCGGACUUCGAGCCUAGGUUUCUCUGCCUCCCGCUCCUUCCCAGGGGCACCUGGCUGCCUGAUCUUGAGCCUCACUUUUCCCCAGACAUUCCAUUGGAUAAUUUUUAUUUCUUUCUUUUAUUUUUUCUUCAGUACUGGGGA